RNAcentral lists this ribosomal RNA (270 nucleotides) under uncultured archaeon. Its description in RNAcentral is "partial 16S ribosomal RNA". It matches the Rfam family "Archaeal small subunit ribosomal RNA", at positions 477 to 747 of the family's 1478-position model. The record is from RNAcentral.
CAGCACCUCAAGUGGUCAGGAUGAUUAUUGGGCCUAAAGCAUCCGUAGCCUGCUUUGUUAGUUUUCGGUUAAAUCCAUACGCUCAACGUAUGGGCUGCCGGGAAUACUGCAAAGCUAGGGAGUGGGAGAGGUAGACGGUACUCGGUAGGAAGGGGUAAAAUCCUUUGAUCUAUUGAUGAUCACCUGUGGCGAAGGCGGUCUACCAGAACACGUCCGACGGUGAGGGAUGAAAGCUAGGGUAGCAAACAGGAUUAGAUACCCUGGUAGUCC